UUCAUCCAGUAUUUCUGGCAAUUAUUUUUUAGGAAGCAGCAAAGCAGUGUAAAUGAAAAACAGCUUCUCUUGUUCUUAUAUAAAGUUUAAAGCCAUCUUUUAAGAUCCGACACAUCCAAGACAUUUUAGAGAGAAAAACUGAGGAACCAAAACACAAAGCAACAGCAGGGGAAAAGAGCUAAAGUCUUGCCACCCAAACACAGCUGGAGUGGAUGCGUGAAUAGACUGGGCCGUCCACCUGAAACUGCCCUACAUAAGGCUCUGUCCUGUCCUUCCUUCAGGACAAAUACACCAGAUUCAAGGAACGGGGCUGUUCAAGUGGCCACAGAGCGACCGGCCAACCAGGUGAAUCCCGUUACUCCUGAUCGCCACUCCGACUAUGUUUUGGACGAUUAACAUUGC
This is a long non-coding RNA of Micropterus dolomieu (smallmouth bass), 402 nucleotides long. RefSeq lists it as uncharacterized. The transcript is spliced from 3 exons. Lineage: Eukaryota; Metazoa; Chordata; Actinopteri; Centrarchiformes; Centrarchidae. The record is from RefSeq and is a predicted model, not a curated record.